UGCUCUUUUACCUUUCUGCUACUUUCUGCUUAUUUUGUGCCCUUCUGCUCCUUUCUCAUUCUGAUCCCUUUCUGCUCCUUGCAGACCCUUUCUGCUCCCUUUUCUAUUUUACCUUUGUGCUCCUUGCUGUCCCUUUCUGCUCCCGUUUCUACUUUACCUUUGUGCUCCUUGCUGUCCCUUACUGCUCUUUCUCCUACUUUACCUUUGUGCUCCUUCUGAUUCUUUCUGCUCCUUUACCUUUGUGUUCC
Molecule: non-coding RNA, 248 nt
Organism: Pelobates cultripes (western spadefoot toad)
Lineage: Eukaryota; Metazoa; Chordata; Amphibia; Anura; Pelobatidae
Source: the annotation of a GenBank genome assembly